UACGUAGGGUGCGAGCGUUAAUCGGAAUACUGGGCGUAAAGCGUGCGCAGGCGGUGAUGUAAGACAGGUGUGGAAAUCCCCGGGCUUAACCUGGGAACUGCAUUUGUGACUGCAUCGCUGGAGUGCGGCAGAGGGGGAUGGAAUUCCGCGUGUAGCAGUGAAAUGCGUAGAUAUGCGGAGGAACACCGAUGGCGAAGGCAAUCCCCUGGA
RNAcentral lists this ribosomal RNA (210 nucleotides) under uncultured bacterium. RNAcentral's name for it is "partial 16S ribosomal RNA". It matches the Rfam family "Bacterial small subunit ribosomal RNA", at positions 524 to 733 of the family's 1533-position model. The record is from RNAcentral.